AGAGUUUGAUCCUGGCUCAGGACGAACGCUGGCGGCGUGCCUAAUACAUGCAAGUCGAACGGAGGUCGCCAUGCGGAUCUCUUCGGAGAGAAGCGUGGCCAUACCUCAGUGGCGAACGGGUGAGUAACACGUGGGUAACCUGCCUGUAAGUCGGGGAUAACUGCGGGAAACCGCAGCUAAUACCGGAUAAGUCGGGAGGUUCGCAUGAACCUUUCGGUAAAGGAGCUACGGUUCCGCUUACAGAUGGGCCCGCGGCGCAUUAGCUAGUUGGUGGGGUAACGGCCUACCAAGGCGACGAUGCGUGGCCGACCUGAGAGGGUGACCGGCCACACUGGGACUGAGACACGGCCCAGACUCCUACGGGAGGCAGCAGUAGGGAAUCUUCCGCAAUGGGCGAAAGCCUGACGGAGCAACGCCGCGUGAGCGAGGAAGGUCUUCGGAUCGUAAAGCUCUGUUGCCAGGGAAGAAAAGGCGCUUGUUGACUGCAGGCGCAUUGACGGUACCUGAGACAGAAAGCCCCGGCUAACUACGUGCCAGCAGCCGCGGUAAU
RNAcentral lists this ribosomal RNA (550 nucleotides) under uncultured bacterium. RNAcentral describes it as "bacterial SSU rRNA". It matches the Rfam family "Bacterial small subunit ribosomal RNA", at positions 8 to 524 of the family's 1533-position model. The record is from RNAcentral.